This 102-nucleotide non-coding RNA is filed under the name Paenibacillus sp. RNAcentral's name for it is "Guanine sequence". It matches the Rfam family "Purine riboswitch aptamer". Rfam says of the family: Riboswitches are metabolite binding domains within certain messenger RNAs that serve as precision sensors for their corresponding targets. Allosteric rearrangement of mRNA structure is mediated by ligand binding, and this results in modulation of gene expression. A class of riboswitches that selectively recognises guanine and becomes saturated at concentrations as low as 5 nM. The record is from RNAcentral. Lineage: Bacteria; Bacillati; Bacillota; Bacilli; Caryophanales; Paenibacillaceae. RNAcentral also lists the same sequence under 1 other name.
GUUCAAAAUAUAGAAUGAUCUCGUAUAGUACCGGGGAUACGGCCCGGAAGUUUCUACCCGAAAACCGUUAAUUUUCGGACUACGAGGAUAUCAGUGUUAUGA